Molecule: unclassified non-coding RNA, 208 nt
Filed under: soil metagenome
Description: partial contains 5.8S ribosomal RNA, internal transcribed spacer 2, and large subunit ribosomal RNA
Source: RNAcentral
AACCAUAGAAACCUGCGGAGUACCUGCGGAGGGAUCAUUACCGAGUUUACAACUCCCAAACCCCUGUGAACAUACCUAUACGUUGCCUCGGCGGAUCAGCCCGCGCCCUGUAAAAAGGGACGGCCCGCCCGAGGACCCCUAAACUCUGUUUUUAGUGGAACUUCUGAGUAAAACAAACAAAUAAAUCAAAACUUUCAACAACGGAUCU